RNAcentral lists this ribosomal RNA (393 nucleotides) under uncultured bacterium. RNAcentral describes it as "partial 16S ribosomal RNA". It matches the Rfam family "Bacterial small subunit ribosomal RNA", at positions 523 to 918 of the family's 1533-position model. The record is from RNAcentral.
AUACGGAGGAUCCGAGCGUUAUCCGGAUUUAUUGGGUUUAAAGGGUGCGCAGGCGGGAGAUUAAGUCGGCGGGGAAAUUUUGCAGCUCAACUGUAAAAGUGCCUUCGAAACUGGUUUCCUUGAGUGUAGAUGAAGUAGGCGGAAUUUGUGGGGUAGCGGUGAAAUGCAUAGAUAUCACGAGGAACUCCGAUUGCGCAGGCAGCUUACUAAACUACUACUGACGCUCAGGCACGAAGGCGUGGGGAUCAAACAGGAUUAGAUACCCCGGUAGUCCACGCAGUAAACGAUGAUUACUAGCUGUUUGCGAUACAAUGUAAGCGGCUGAGCGAAAGCGUUAAGUAAUCCACCUGGGGAGUACGUUCGCAAGAAUGAAACUCAAAUGAAUUGACGGGG